AUCCUGGCUCAGAACGAACGCUGGCGGCGCGUUUUAAGCAUGCAAGUCGAACGGUAGUAGAGUGCUUGCACUCUAUGAGAGUGGCGAACGGGUGAGUAACACGUAGGUGAUCUAUCUUGAGGUCUGGGAUAGCUUGUGGAAACACAGGGUAAUACUGGAUGCGACCUGUGUAUUGAGGUACAUGAGGGAAAGCCGCUUAGGCGGUGCCUUAAGCUGAGCCUGCGUCUCAUUAGUUAGUUGGUGGGGUAAUGGCUUACCAAGGCGACGAUGAGUAGCCGGCCUGAGAGGGUGAUCGGCCACACUGGGACUGAGACACGGCCCAGACUCCUACGGGAGGCAGCAGCUAAGAAUCUUCCGCAAUGGGGGGAACCCUGACGGAGCGACGCCGCGUGGACGAAGAAGGCCGGAAGGUUGUAAAGUCCUUUUCCUGGGGGAGAAUAAGGUAUGGAGGGAAUGCCAUACAGAUGACGUGAACCAGGGAAUAAGCCCCGGCUAAUUACGUGCCAGCAGCCGCGGUAACACGUAAGGGGCGAGCGUUGUUCGGAUUUAUUGGGCGUAAAGGGCGUGUAGGCGGUGAGAUAAGUCUGGUGCGAAAGAUCCCGGCUCAACCGGGAGAGCGCGCUGGAAACUGUCUUACUUGAGUGAUGGAGGGGGAGCUGGAAUUCCUGGUGUAGGGGUGAAAUCUGUAGAGAUCAGGAAGAACACCGGAGGCGAAGGCGAGCUCCUGGCCAUUUACUGACGCUGAGGCGCGAAAGCGUGGGGAGCGAACAGGAUUAGAUACCCUGGUAGUCCACGCUGUAAACGAUGUGCACUGGGUGUUGGACCUGAGAGGUUCAGUGCCGUAGCA
This 847-nucleotide ribosomal RNA is filed under the name uncultured organism. Its description in RNAcentral is "bacterial SSU rRNA". It matches the Rfam family "Bacterial small subunit ribosomal RNA", at positions 16 to 853 of the family's 1533-position model. The record is from RNAcentral.